GACAGAGGGUGCAAACGUUGUUCGGAAUUACUGGGCGUAAAGCGCGUGUAGGCUGCUUCGCAAGUCGGAUGUGAAAGCCCUGGGCUCAACCCAGGAAGUGCAUUCGAAACUGCAGAGCUGGAGUCCUGGAGAGGAAGGCGGAAUUCUCGGUGUAGAGGUGAAAUUCGUAGAUAUCGAGAGGAACACCGGUGGCGAAGGGCGGCCUUCUGGACAGUGACUGACGCUGAGACGCGAAAGCGUGGGGAGCAAACAGG
RNAcentral lists this ribosomal RNA (254 nucleotides) under uncultured bacterium. Its description in RNAcentral is "partial 16S ribosomal RNA". It matches the Rfam family "Bacterial small subunit ribosomal RNA", at positions 524 to 776 of the family's 1533-position model. The record is from RNAcentral.